UACGGAGGAUGCGAGCGUUAUCCGGAUUCAUUGGGUUUAAAGGGUGCGUAGGCGGUUUCUUAAGUCAGUGGCGAAAUCCUGCGGCUCAACCGUAGAACUGCCAUUGAUACUGAGAAACUUGAAUAUAGUUGAGGUAGGCGGAAUGAGUAGUGUAGCGGUGAAAUGCUUAGAUAUUACUCAGAACACCGAUUGCGAAGGCAGCUUGCUAAGCUAUAAUUGACGCUGAUGCACGAAAGCGUGGGGAUCAAACAGG
Molecule: ribosomal RNA, 253 nt
Filed under: uncultured bacterium
Lineage: Bacteria
Description: partial 16S ribosomal RNA
Rfam family: Bacterial small subunit ribosomal RNA
Source: RNAcentral